ACUCCUACGGGAGGCAGCAGUGGGGAAUCUUCCGCAAUGGGCGAAAGUCUGACGGAGCAACGCCGCGUGUACGACGAAGGCCUUCGGGUUGUAAAGUACUGUCUUCAGGGACGAACGGUAAGUAUGUAAAGAAUGUACUUACAUGACGGUACCUGAGGAGGAAGCCCCGGCUAACUACGUGCCAGCAGCCGCGGUAAUACGUAGGGGGCAAGCGUUGUCCGGAAUCAUUGGGCGUAAAGGGCGCGUAGGCGGAUACUUAAGUCUGGUGUGAAAACCUGG
Molecule: ribosomal RNA, 279 nt
Filed under: Desulfitobacterium enrichment culture
Lineage: Bacteria; Bacillati; Bacillota; Clostridia; Eubacteriales; Desulfitobacteriaceae
Description: partial 16S ribosomal RNA
Rfam family: Bacterial small subunit ribosomal RNA
Source: RNAcentral